GGAAGUAAAAGUCGUAACAAGAUAACCGUAGGUGAACCUGCGGUUGGAUCAUUACUGAUUCGUAAAGUGCAUUGGGUAAUGUGUUUGGUUACUUUUUUUCUUUGGUUUCAGGGGGGAGAGAGCCUUGACUUUUUUUUGUUCUUUGUUUAGGGGCAUGUGUUGCCUCCGUUCAGUUUACCAAAUCCUUUUCCAUUCUUGUUUGUUUAUUCUAGUUUUCUGGUUUUGAGAUGAGCAAGGACCGCCUCUUAAGACUGGUUUGCUCGUACGGCGUUUUGUUAGUUUUCAAGAUGCAAAGCC
This 297-nucleotide unclassified non-coding RNA is filed under the name plant metagenome. RNAcentral's name for it is "partial contains small subunit ribosomal RNA and internal transcribed spacer 1". The stretch from base 1 to 54 matches the Rfam family "Eukaryotic small subunit ribosomal RNA", at positions 1778 to 1831 of the family's 1831-position model. The record is from RNAcentral.